This 2515-nucleotide ribosomal RNA is filed under the name Staphylococcus pasteuri. RNAcentral's name for it is "partial 23S ribosomal RNA". It matches the Rfam family "Bacterial large subunit ribosomal RNA", at positions 1 to 2515 of the family's 2925-position model. Lineage: Bacteria; Bacillati; Bacillota; Bacilli; Caryophanales; Staphylococcaceae. The record is from RNAcentral.
GAUUAAGUUAUUAAGGGCGCACGGUGGAUGCCUUGGCACUAGAAGCCGAAGAAGGACGUUACUAACGACGAUAUGCUUUGGGGAGCUGUAAGUAAGCGUUGAUCCAGAGAUUUCCGAAUGGGGAAACCCAACAUGAGUUAUGUCAUGUUAUCGAUAUGUGAAUACAUAGCAUAUCAGAAGGCAGACCCGGAGAACUGAAACAUCUUAGUACCCGGAGGAAGAGAAAGAAAAAUCGAUUCCCUGAGUAGCGGCGAGCGAAACGGGAAGAGCCCAAACCAACAAGCUUGCUUGUUGGGGUUGUAGGACACUCUAUACGGAGUUACAAAAGUAUAUAUUAGACGAAUCAUCUGGAAAGUUGAAUCAAAGAAGGUAAUAAUCCUGUAGUCGAAAAUAUAUACUCUCUUGAGUGGAUCCUGAGUACGACGGAGCACGUGAAAUUCCGUCGGAAUCUGGGAGGACCAUCUCCUAAGGCUAAAUACUCUCUAGUGACCGAUAGUGAACCAGUACCGUGAGGGAAAGGUGAAAAGUACCCCGGAAGGGGAGUGAAAGAGAACUUGAAACCGUGUGCUUACAAGUAGUCAGAGCCCGUUAAUGGGUGAUGGCGUGCCUUUUGUAGAAUGAACCGGCGAGUUACGAUUUGAUGCAAGGUUAAGCAGUGAAUGUGGAGCCGUAGCGAAAGCGAGUCUGAAUAGGGCGUUGAGUAUUUGGUCGUAGACCCGAAACCAGGUGAUCUACCCUUGGUCAGGUUGAAGUUCAGGUAACACUGAAUGGAGGACCGAACCGACUUACGUUGAAAAGUGAGCGGAUGAACUGAGGGUAGCGGAGAAAUUCCAAUCGAACCUGGAGAUAGCUGGUUCUCUCCGAAAUAGCUUUAGGGCUAGCCUCAAGUGAUGAUUAUUGGAGGUAGAGCACUGUUUGGACGAGGGGCCCUUCUCGGGUUACCGAAUUCAGACAAACUCCGAAUGCCAAUCAAUUUAACUUGGGAGUCAGAACAUGGGUGAUAAGGUCCGUGUUCGAAAGGGAAACAGCCCAGACCACCAGCUAAGGUCCCAAAAUAUAUGUUAAGUGGAAAAGGAUGUGGCGUUGCCCAGACAACUAGGAUGUUGGCUUAGAAGCAGCCAUCAUUUAAAGAGUGCGUAAUAGCUCACUAGUCGAGUGACACUGCGCCGAAAAUGUACCGGGGCUAAACAUAUUACCGAAGCUGUGGAUUGUCCGUAGGACAAUGGUAGGAGAGCGUUCUAAGGGCGUUGAAGCAUGAUCGCAAGGACAUGUGGAGCGCUUAGAAGUGAGAAUGCCGGUGUGAGUAGCGAAAGACGGGUGAGAAUCCCGUCCACCGAUUGACUAAGGUUUCCAGAGGAAGGCUCGUCCGCUCUGGGUUAGUCGGGUCCUAAGCUGAGGCCGACAGGCGUAGGCGAUGGAUAACAGGUUGAUAUUCCUGUACCACCUAGUAUCGUUUUAAUCGAUGGGGGGACGCAGUAGGAUAGGCGAAGCGUGCUAUUGGAUUGCACGUCCAAGCAGUAAGACUGAGUGUUAGGCAAAUCCGGCACUCRUAAGGUCAAGCUGUGAUGGGGAGAGGAAAUUGUUUCCUCGAGUCGUUGAUUUCACACUGCCAAGAAAAGCCUCUAGAUAGAUAACAGGUGCCCGUACCGCAAACCGACACAGGUAGUCAAGAUGAGAAUUCUAAGGUGAGCGAGCGAACUCUCGUUAAGGAACUCGGCAAAAUGACCCCGUAACUUCGGGAGAAGGGGUGCUCUUUAGGGUUAACGCCCAGAAGAGCCGCAGUGAAUAGGCCCAAGCGACUGUUUAUCAAAAACACAGGUCUCUGCUAAACCGUAAGGUGAUGUAUAGGGGCUGACGCCUGCCCGGUGCUGGAAGGUUAAGAGGAGUAGUUAGCUUCUGCGAAGCUACGAAUCGAAGCCCCAGUAAACGGCGGCCGUAACUAUAACGGUCCUAAGGUAGCGAAAUUCCUUGUCGGGUAAGUUCCGACCCGCACGAAAGGCGUAACGAUUUGGGCACUGUCUCAACGAGAGACUCGGUGAAAUCAUAGUACCUGUGAAGAUGCAGGUUACCCGCGACAGGACGGAAAGACCCCGUGGAGCUUUACUGUAGCCUGAUAUUGAAAUUCGGCACAGCUUGUACAGGAUAGGUAGGAGCCUUUGAAACGUGAGCGCUAGCUUACGUGGAGGCAUUGGUGGGAUACUACCCUAGCUGUGUUGGCUUUCUAACCCGCACCACUUAUCGUGGUGGGAGACAGUGUCAGGUGGGCAGUUUGACUGGGGCGGUCGCCUCCUAAAAGGUAACGGAGGCGCUCAAAGGUUCCCUCAGAAUGGUUGGAAAUCAUUCAUAGAGUGUAAAGGCAUAAGGGAGCUUGACUGCGAGACUUACAAGUCGAGCAGGGUCGAAAGACGGACUUAGUGAUCCGGUGGUUCCGCAUGGAAGGGCCAUCGCUCAACGGAUAAAAGCUACCCCGGGGAUAACAGGCUUAUCUCCCCCAAGAGUUCACAUCGACGGGGAG